This is a long non-coding RNA of Oncorhynchus tshawytscha (Chinook salmon), 587 nucleotides long. Lineage: Eukaryota; Metazoa; Chordata; Actinopteri; Salmoniformes; Salmonidae. The record is from Ensembl.
GGUUGGUGGUGUGACUGUAGUAGGUUGGUGCUGUGACUGUAGUAGGUUUGUGGUGUGACUGUAAUAGGCUGGUGGUGUGACUGUAGUAGGUUGGUGGUGUGUCUGUGGUAGGUUGGUGCUGUGACUGUAGUAGGUUGGUGGUGUGACUGUAGUAGGUUGGAGGUGUGACUGUAGUAGGUUGGUGGUGUGACUGUAGUAGGUUGGUGCUGUGACUGUAGUAGGCUGGUGGUGUGACUGUAGUAGACUGGUCUGUGACUGUAGUAGGUUGGUGGUGUGACUGUAGUAGGCUGGUGCUGUGACUGUAGUAGGUUGGUGGUGUGACUGUAGUAGGUUGGUGCUGUGACUGUAGUAGGUUGGUGGUGUGACUGUAGUAGGUUGGUGCUGUGACUGUAGUAGGUUGGUGGUGUGACUGUAGUAGGCUGGUGCUGUGACUGUAGUAGGCUGGUGGUGUGACUGUAGUAGGCUGGUGCUGUGACUGUAGUAGGUUGGUGGUGUGACAGCUGUGUAGGCUGGUGCUGUGACUGUAGUAGGUUGGUGGUGUGAUGGCUGUGUAGGUUGGUGGUGUGACUGUAGUAGGUUGGUGGUGU